AUGGACUCCCGGUCGAUCAACCUUCGGGGCUUCGCCGGAAGCGCAGGAAAAAAUAUCAUGCAGGGGAUUGGGGGAUUCGUUUUCGGCAACGAGGCGUCCGAGUCCAAGGAAGAUAGCUAUGUCGAGAGAUUCCUCGAUCGCAUAAGCAACGGCACCAUGCCUGAUGAUAGGAGGUCUGCCAUGACUGAGCUACAGUCCCUCGUGGCGGAGAGCCGUUCGGCUCAGAUGUCUUUUGGAGCUAUGGGCUUCCCUGUCCUUCUCAACGUUUUGAAAGAAGACCGUGAGGAUGUUGAGCUCGUCAGAGGUGCCCUAGAAACCCUUGUGAGCGCGCUGACUCCUAUUGAGACGUCACAGGGACUGAAAACUGAGGUCCAACCGGCAUCAAUGAACUCUGAUUUGCUUUCUCGAGAAACAGACAACAUUUCUCUUCUCUUGAGCUUACUGACAGAGGAGGAUUUCUAUGUGCGAUAUUACACAAUCCAGCUUUUAACAGCGUUACUUACAAACUCGUUGAAAAGAUUACAGGAGGCAAUUCUAUUAAUUCCCCGUGGCAUAACAGUUUUAAUGGACAUGCUUAUGGACCGCGAGGUCAUAAGGAAUGAAGCACUAUUACUUCUUACUUAUCUGACCAGGGACGCAGAGGAAAUUCAAAAAAUUGUUGUAUUUGAGGGUGCAUUUGAGAAGUUGUUUAGCAUUAUUGGGGAGGAGGGAUUUUCUGAUGGAGGCGUCGUUGUUCAGGAUUGCCUUGAACUUUUAAAUAAUUUAAUACGGAACAAUGCGUCCAAUCAGAUGCUUUUGAAAGAGACAAUGGGCUUUGACCCAUUGAUAUCAAUACUAAAGAUUAGGAGAGGCAGUGCAUUCAAUUUUACCCAACAAAAGACGGUAAAUCUUCUCGGUGCCUUACAUACUGUCGAACUGCUUUUGAUGGGGGGCCCACCGGGUGAAACAGGUAAAGAUACUAGCAAGAUCACCAAUCAAACUGCACUAGCUCAGAGAAACAUUCUUGACCAUCUUCUAUUAUUGGGCGUUGAGAGUCAGUGGGCCCCUGUAGCUCUUCGCUGUACGGCAUUGCGGUGUAUUGGCAGCUUGGUACUAAGAAAUCCUCAAAAUCUCGAUUCUCUUGCAAGCAAGCAAGUCGGGGAAGAACCUCAUGUUCAGCCUGCACUGAAUGCGAUCUUAGCUAUAAUCCUGCGAACCUCCGUAGCACAGGAAUUUGUUGCUGCUGAUUAUGUCUUCAAGUGUUUCUGCGAGACAAAUCCCAAUGGCCAGGCAUUAUUAGCAUCAACUAUUGCUCCACAUCCAAGCCAAGGAACUGCUACCCAUGGUGCUUCUAGUGACAUGCCAUUUGGAAGUGCACUUCUGCAAGCUCUGGUGUCAAGUGAUGUUAAUGGAGAUAUGGAGGCAUGUUGCAGAGCAUCUAGUGUUCUUACUCACAUAAUCAAGGACAACUUGCAAUGCAAAGAUCGCGUAUUGCAAAUUCAGCUUGAAACACCUACGCCAUCCUUGGGACGCACCGAGCCUCUCUUGCAUCGGAUUGUUACGUGUUUAUCCUUUGCAGCUUUAGCAGAAGGAGAGAAUGACCAAAGCAGUCAAUCAGAAGGAUCAUAUAUUCAGCCUGUUAUUCUCCGGCUACUCAUCACAUGGCUUGCGGACUGUGCAAAUGCUGUAAAUUGCCUUUUGGAAUCAGCGGUACACCUAAACUACAUAAUCGAGCUUGCUGCGAAUAAACGUUUCACCGGUUGCGUCCGUGGAUUAGCUGCUGUUGUUUUAGGUGCUUGUGUCCUCAAUAAUGCAAGCCGUGAGAAGGGCCGAGAUGCCUUUGCUGUUGCAGAUGCUAUAAGCCAAAAGAUUGGCCUUACUACAUACUUUUUGAGGUUCGAUGAGCUGCGGAAAAGCUUUCUUCACCUACCAUCAGGGCAGCAGAACCACAAGCAGCUUUCACGGUCAAGUGCAAACAGUAUGUCUGAUUUCCAAGAGAUUGAAGAGGAGGAAACAAAUAAAGGCGAUCAACAUCCAGUCCUUUCGGAAAUUUUUGAUUCACAAUUCGUUAGUUUACUCAGUAAGCUUGAGACUGAUAUUAGAGAAUGUAUAAUGGAUCUCUUCAGUCGAACAAAGACUGCAACUGCAGUUCUACCUGUUGAGUUGGAGCAGAAGAACGGGGAGGUUGACGGAGAGUAUAUCAAGCGGUUGAAGUCAUUUGUAGAGAGACAGUGCAACGAGAUGCAGGACUUGCUAGGCCGAAAUGCAAUCUUAGCAGAAGAUCUAGUGCGAACUGGUGGUGGCAGCACUUCAGAUUCUUCUGAGAAACCGAGCAGUGGCCGAGAAAGGGUACAAAUUGAAGCCCUCAGACAAGAACUGGAGGGCGCAGCACGGCGAAUAGAGGUGCUCAAAACUGAAAAAGCUCAGAUCGAGGCCGAAGCUAGCAACCAACGAAAUCUUGCAGUAAAACUUGAAUCUGAUCUCAAGAGCUUGGCAGAUGCUUACAACAGUCUUGAGCAGUCCAACUACCGCCUUGAUGCAGAGGUGAAAACCUUGAGGCAGGGAGGCAGUGCUCCCUACCCGGACGUAGAAGCAAUAAAAGCGCAAGCCAAGGAAGAGGCAGAGAAGGAAAGUGAGGUGGAACUGAACGAUCUACUCGUCUGCCUGGGACAGGAGCAAAGUAAGGUUGAGAAGCUGAGUGCACGGCUGGCAGAGCUCGGUGAGGACGUGGACACCCUGCUGCAAGGUAUCGGUGAUGAUGCUGCCUUGCCAGAUGACGACGAUGAUGAUGACGACGAGGAUGACGACGAUGAAAAGUAA
This 2799-nucleotide ribosomal RNA is filed under the name Triticum aestivum (bread wheat). Its description in RNAcentral is "partial small subunit ribosomal RNA". The record is from RNAcentral. Lineage: Eukaryota; Viridiplantae; Streptophyta; Magnoliopsida; Poales; Poaceae.